Molecule: unclassified non-coding RNA, 204 nt
Filed under: Hevea brasiliensis (rubber tree)
Lineage: Eukaryota; Viridiplantae; Streptophyta; Magnoliopsida; Malpighiales; Euphorbiaceae
Source: RNAcentral
GGAGGAUAGACUGAAGUUCUGGUUCCAGAAGUCGAGAGUUCGGAAACCAAGAGUGAGCGGAAGUUUUACUUGUUGACAGCUAGCCAUUCAUUAAUAUCUUCCCCAGGAGGAAGCCUUACAGCCUCUCUCAAGUUUCCGCUGCCUAAAGUAGAAUCAAUGUGCUGUCUUAAUUGUGCACCCUUACUCCCUGAGGGUGCACUCUUU